AGUCUAGCAUGUGCGCGAGUCAUUGGGAAUCAAUAAACCUAAAGGCGCAAUGAAAGUGAAAGUCUGUUUACGCGGACUUAGGGAAGAUAGGUGCGUACACAUUGUGUACAACCUCGCACUCCCGGGGCGUCCCGCACUCAUUGCGAGGUGGGGCGCACCAAGAGCGUACACGCUGGGACCCGAAAGAUGGUGAACUAUGCCUGGUCAGGACGAAGUCAGGGGAAACCCUGAUGGAGGUCCGUAGCGAUUCUGACGUGCAAAUCGAUCGUCGGAACUGGGCUUAGGGGCGAAAGACUAAUCGAACCAUCUAGUAGCUGGUUCCCACCGAAGUUUCCCUCAGGAUAGCUGGCACUAGAUUAUGGAUGAGUCUCAUCCGGUAAAGCGAAUGAUUAGAGGCAUUGGGGUCGAAACGGCCUCAACCUAUUCUCAAACUUUAAAUGGGUGAGAUCUCCGGCUUGCUCGAUUUAUGAAGCCGGAGAUCGGAUCAAUUAGUGCCAAGUGGGCCACUUUUGGUAAGCAGAACUGGCGCUGUGGGAUGAACCAAACGCAGAGUUAAAGCGCCAAAAUCGACGCUUAUGGGAUACCAUGAAAGGCGUUGGUAACUUAAGACAGCAGGACGGUGGCCAUGGAAGUCGGAA
Molecule: ribosomal RNA, 638 nt
Filed under: Carabus syriacus galilaeus
Lineage: Eukaryota; Metazoa; Arthropoda; Insecta; Coleoptera; Carabidae
Description: eukaryotic LSU rRNA
Rfam family: Eukaryotic large subunit ribosomal RNA
Source: RNAcentral